Molecule: long non-coding RNA, 597 nt
Filed under: Danio rerio (zebrafish)
Lineage: Eukaryota; Metazoa; Chordata; Actinopteri; Cypriniformes; Danionidae
Description: lncRNA (ENSDARG00000117360.1)
Source: RNAcentral
AAAACAUUGAGCCUCUAAAUACAUUGUAGUCUCUAAAUAUAAAUGUAUUGCUCUGCUGAUUUAAUAACAUUAAUAUUGUUCAUUUACUUGUCAUUGGAACCAAGCAAUUUUAUCAUAGAAAUUAUUAAAAUGUUAGAAAUACCUGUAUUGUAAAACGGUAUAGCUUCCCUCACAAAUGUGUACAGUCGUGGAGAGUUUUUGGCGCGUCUGAGCACCAUAGCAACGAAUCGCCGUCAUCGUUCAUUCAGUGUUCAAUGGUUAGCAUGCGGGCGACUAGCGCGAACACUAGAGCUGCACCUGAAUUGAUCGCGUACGUACGCUAAUUACGCAAGCCGUUGUCGCAUUUAAACAUCCACAGAAAGCAUUCCCCACAUUUCUGGCAUAAACAAACACAAAUUAUAUGCAACAUGUGUUUACAAAAUUGUUACCAACGCAGUCGUAAUGGAAGUAGGACAUCUUGAAAUAAGGGGCAUGAGAGAAGGGGGAGUGAGAAAAGGCCACAGAGGACAUGAGGGAAUCUUGCCACACAUUCACGGCAAACUAUGGACGAAGUCAGUAUUAUUCUACUAAUAGUGAUAGUCAAACAUGCAGUCGGUA